GAAAUGCGAUAAGUAGUGUGAAUUGCAGAAUUCAGUGAAUCAUCGAAUCUUUGAACGCACAUUGCGCCCCUUGGUAUUCCAUGGGGCAUGCCUGUUCGAGCGUCAUUUGUACCCUCAAGCUCUGCUUGGUGUUGGGUGUUUGUCCCGUCUCCGCGCGUGGACUCGCCCCAAAGUGAUUGGCAGCCGGCGUACUGGUCCCGGAGCGCAGCACAUGUCGCGCAAACGAGUGCCUCGGUACGGCGGCGUCCAUAAGCCCCUCUCUCACGCUCUUGACCUCGGAUCAGGUAGGGAUACCCGCUGAACUUAAGC
Molecule: unclassified non-coding RNA, 309 nt
Filed under: plant metagenome
Description: partial contains 5.8S ribosomal RNA, internal transcribed spacer 2, and large subunit ribosomal RNA
Rfam family: 5.8S ribosomal RNA (bases 1-105)
Source: RNAcentral